Molecule: long non-coding RNA, 600 nt
Filed under: Marmota monax (woodchuck)
Lineage: Eukaryota; Metazoa; Chordata; Mammalia; Rodentia; Sciuridae
Source: RNAcentral
AAGGAAAGUGAGGAACCUGGAGACGGGCGAGUGAGGAAUGAAGACAGAGACCAGGCAGAGAUACACACGAGAGUGUAUUUGUCAGAGAUUUGGGACUUUCAAGGAGCAGGCUCAGGUAUUAGAGCCGGGUGGGUCCUAAUGCAGGCGGUUAAAGGUGGGGUUGGUAUGAGGGUGUGGGGAGUCUUUCUCAGAAACUCCCUUGGACAGGAAAGUGAAAUUUUUUAAAAAAUGAUGGCUGUCACUUAAGAUGGCUGUACAGAUGCUAAGCAAGGACCUUACAGACACUAGCAUACCAAGUCAGGUGGAGAGCAUCGGGGUGGCAAAAGUGAAAGAGGCUCCCCUUUAUCCAAUGUUUGUAAUAAUAGAAAUAAAAAGUUAUGUUAUCGAGGAUGGCACUACUGAGCAGAUCAUGACAUAAGUGUCACGUUGGCAUCUCCAGGAAACCCUACUGUGUUUCUCUGGUAGGUUCUCUCUCCCACACCCCUUUGCAUAUUUCACACCUGUUGCUACCACUUCCCCAUAGCGUGCAUAUAAACUGUUUUGCUUCCCUAAACUUACAUAUCGCAUCAAAUUUUAUUUAUAAAAGAAAGCCUUCCAGGC